Molecule: ribosomal RNA, 394 nt
Filed under: uncultured bacterium
Lineage: Bacteria
Description: partial 16S ribosomal RNA
Rfam family: Bacterial small subunit ribosomal RNA
Source: RNAcentral
AUACAUAGGGGGCGAGCGUUGUUCGGAAUCAUUGGGCGUAAAGGGCGUGCAGGCGGUCCUGCAAGUCCGGCGUGAAAGACCCCGGCCCAACCGGGGGGACGCGCUGGAAACUGCGGGGCUUGAGUACAGGAGGGGAUGCCGGAAUUCCAGGUGUAGGGGUGAAAUCUGUAGAUAUCUGGAAGAACACCAAUGGCGAAGGCAGGCAUCUGGCCAUGUACUGACGCUGAGACGCGAAGGUGCGGGGAGCAAACAGGUUUAGAUACCCUGGUAGUCCGCACAGUAAACGAUGUGCACCAGGUGGCGGGGGGUCGACCCUCGGUACCGUAGCUAACGCAUUAAGUGCACCGCCUGGGGAGUAUGCUCGCAAGGGUGAAACUCAAAUGAAUUGACGGGG